UUAACGAUUAUAUAGUACUCAGACAGCAGAUAUUUCAGCGUUGAAGUCCUCUGCCGGGCGCGCCCGGCAAAGCAACGAAGUUCAGUAAACAUAGGGUGAGAAUAGGGGCCGCGAGGCCUGUUAUUCUGUAAUGAUCCUUCCGCAGGUUCACCUACGGAAA
Molecule: unclassified non-coding RNA, 160 nt
Filed under: uncultured fungus
Lineage: Eukaryota; Fungi
Description: sequence contains ITS1
Source: RNAcentral